RNAcentral lists this ribosomal RNA (391 nucleotides) under uncultured Scuticociliatia. RNAcentral's name for it is "partial small subunit ribosomal RNA". It matches the Rfam family "Eukaryotic small subunit ribosomal RNA", at positions 30 to 432 of the family's 1831-position model. The record is from RNAcentral. Lineage: Eukaryota; Ciliophora; Oligohymenophorea.
GCUUGUCUCAAAGAUUAAGCCAUGCAUGUCUCAGUAUAAGUUCCUGUACGGCGAAACUGCGAAUGGCUCAUUAAAACAGUUAUAGUUUAUUUGAUGGUCGUUCCUUACAUGGAUAACCGUGGUAAUUCUAGAGCUAAUACAUGCUAUCAAGCCCGACUUCUUGAAGGGUUGUAUUUAUUAGACUUAAGCCAAUAUUCCUUGUGUCUAUUGCGAUGAUUCAUAAUAACUGAUCGAAUCUCAAAUUUGAGAUAAAUCAUUCAAGUUUCUGCCCUAUCAGCUUUCGAUGGUAGUGUAUUGGACUACCAUGGCAGUAACGGGUAACGAAGAAUUAGGGUUCGAUUUCGGAGAGGGAGCAUGAGAAACGGCUACCACAUCUAAGGAAGGCAGCAGG